GACGAACGCUGGCGGCGUGCUUAACACAUGCAAGUCGAACGGAAAGGCCCUGCUUUUGUGGGGUGCUCGAGUGGCGAACGGGUGAGUAACACGUGAGUAACCUGCCCUUGACUUUGGGAUAACUUCAGGAAACUGGGGCUAAUACCGGAUAGGAGCUCCUGCUGCAUGGUGGGGGUUGGAAAGUUUCGGCGGUUGGGGAUGGACUCGCGGCUUAUCAGCUUGUUGGUGGGGUAGUUGCGUACCAAGGCUUUGACGGGUAGCCGGCCUGAGAGGGUGACCGGCCACAGGGGAACGGAGGCGCGGGCCAGACGCCGACGUGAGGGAGCAGCAGGGAACCUUCCGCAAUGGGCGAAAGGCUGACGGAGCAUCGCCGCGUUGGUGAUGAAGGUCGUCGGAGCGGAAAGCUCGGUUAUGAGGGAAGAACAUAUGUGCAAGGAAAUGUGCACAUCGUGACGGUACCUAAUCAGAAAGCAACGGCUAACUACUUG
Molecule: ribosomal RNA, 488 nt
Filed under: uncultured bacterium
Lineage: Bacteria
Description: partial 16S ribosomal RNA
Rfam family: Bacterial small subunit ribosomal RNA
Source: RNAcentral